GUAGGUGGCAAGCGUUGUCCGGAAUUAUUGGGCGUAAAGCGCGCGCAGGCGGUUUUUUAAGUCUGAUGUGAAAGCCCACGGCUCAACCGUGGAGGGUCAUUGGAAACUGGAGAACUUGAGUACAGAAGAGGAAAGCGGAAUUCCACGUGUAGCGGUGAAAUGCGUAGAGAUGUGGAGGAACACCAGUGGCGAAGGCGGCUUUCUGGUCUGUAACUGACGCUGAGGCGCGAAAGCGUGGGGAGCAAACAGGGAUUAGAUACCCUGGUAGUCCACGCCGUAAACGAUGAGUGCUAAGUGUUAGGGGGGUUUUCCGCCCCCUUAGUGCUGCAGCUAACGCAUUAAGCACUCCGCCUGGGGAGUACGGCCGCAAGGCUG
RNAcentral lists this ribosomal RNA (375 nucleotides) under uncultured organism. RNAcentral's name for it is "partial 16S ribosomal RNA". It matches the Rfam family "Bacterial small subunit ribosomal RNA", at positions 527 to 896 of the family's 1533-position model. The record is from RNAcentral.